Molecule: non-coding RNA, 30 nt
Filed under: Homo sapiens (human)
Lineage: Eukaryota; Metazoa; Chordata; Mammalia; Primates; Hominidae
Source: RNAcentral
UGGNGCAGGCUCAUCAGCAGGGUUCUGGGC